RNAcentral lists this ribosomal RNA (253 nucleotides) under uncultured bacterium. RNAcentral describes it as "partial 16S ribosomal RNA". It matches the Rfam family "Bacterial small subunit ribosomal RNA", at positions 524 to 776 of the family's 1533-position model. The record is from RNAcentral.
UACGAAGGUGGCAAGCGUUGUUCGGAAUUACUGGGCGUAAAGGGCGCGUAGGCGGCUAGGCAAGUCAGGUGUGAAAGCCCCGGGCUUAACCCGGGAAUUGCAUCUGAAACUGCUGUGCUUGAGUUCUGGAGGGGGUAGUGGAAUUCCCAGUGUAGCGGUGAAAUGCGUAGAUAUUGGGAGGAACACCUGCGGCGAAGGCGGCUACCUGGACAGAAACUGACGCUGAGGCGCGAAAGCUAGGGGAGCGAACGGG